This 464-nucleotide ribosomal RNA is filed under the name Vreelandella stevensii. RNAcentral describes it as "partial 16S ribosomal RNA". It matches the Rfam family "Bacterial small subunit ribosomal RNA", at positions 339 to 795 of the family's 1533-position model. Lineage: Bacteria; Pseudomonadati; Pseudomonadota; Gammaproteobacteria; Oceanospirillales; Halomonadaceae. The record is from RNAcentral.
CUACGGGAGGCUGCAGUGGGGAAUAUUGGACAAUGGGCGAAAGCCUGAUCCAGCCAUGCCGCGUGUGUGAAGAAGGCCUUCGGGUUGUAAAGCACUUUCAGUGGGGAAGAAAGCCUUGGGGCUAAUACCCUCGAGGAAGGACAUCACCCACAGAAGAAGCACCGGCUAACUCCGUGCCAGCAGCCGCGGUAAUACGGAGGGUGCGAGCGUUAAUCGGAAUUACUGGGCGUAAAGCGCGCGUAGGCGGUCUGAUAAGCCGGUUGUGAAAGCCCCGGGCGCAACCUGGGAACGGCAUCCGGAACUGUCAGGCUAGAGUGCAGGAGAGGGAGGUAGAAUUCCCGGUGUAGCGGUGAAAUGCGUAGAGAUCGGGAGGAAUACCAGUGGCGAAGGCGGCCUUCUGGACUGACACUGACGCUGAGGUGCGAAAGCGUGGGUAGCAAACAGGAUUAGAUACCCCUGUAGUC